RNAcentral lists this ribosomal RNA (152 nucleotides) under uncultured Chlamydiales bacterium. RNAcentral describes it as "partial 16S ribosomal RNA". It matches the Rfam family "Bacterial small subunit ribosomal RNA", at positions 305 to 456 of the family's 1533-position model. The record is from RNAcentral. Lineage: Bacteria; Pseudomonadati; Chlamydiota; Chlamydiia; Chlamydiales.
CGCCAACACUGGGACUGAGACACUGCCCAGACUCCUACGGGAGGCUGCAGUCGAGAAUCUUUCGCAAUGGGCGAAAGCCUGACGAAGCGACGCCGUGUGUAUGAUGAAGGCCUUCGGGUUGUAAAGUACUUUCGCUUGGGAACAAGAAAGGC